This 200-nucleotide ribosomal RNA is filed under the name uncultured bacterium. RNAcentral's name for it is "partial 16S ribosomal RNA". It matches the Rfam family "Bacterial small subunit ribosomal RNA", at positions 8 to 231 of the family's 1533-position model. The record is from RNAcentral.
AGAGUUUGAUCCUGGCUCAGGAUAAACGCUGGCGGCGUGCCUAACACAUGCAAGUCGAACGCCCUGUUUCGGCAGGGAGUGGCGGACGGGUGAGGAACACGUGGGUGAUCUACCUUGAGGUGAGGAAUACCGGCGAGAAAUCGCCGACAAUACCGCAUAUGCUCGCGAGAGCAAAGUCGCAAGACGCCUUGAGAUGAGCC